RNAcentral lists this ribosomal RNA (500 nucleotides) under uncultured bacterium. Its description in RNAcentral is "partial 16S ribosomal RNA". It matches the Rfam family "Bacterial small subunit ribosomal RNA", at positions 30 to 523 of the family's 1533-position model. The record is from RNAcentral.
AUUGAACGCUGGCGGAAUGCUUUACACAUGCAAGUCGAACGGCAGCACGGACUUCGGUCUGGUGGCGAGUGGCGAACGGGUGAGUAAUGUAUCGGAACGUGCCCAGUCGUGGGGGAUAACGUAGUGAAAAUUACGCUAAUACCGCAUACGAUCUAUGGAUGAAAGCGGGGGAUCGCAAGACCUCGCGCGAUUGGAGCGGCCGAUAUCAGAUUAGGUAGUUGGUGGGGUAAAGGCCCACCAAGCCAACGAUCUGUAGCUGGUCUGAGAGGACGACCAGCCACACUGGGACUGAGACACGGUCCAGACUCCUACGGGAGGCAGCAGUGGGGAAUUUUGGACAAUGGGCGAAAGCCUGAUCCAGCCAUUCCGCGUGCAGGAUGAAGGCCCUCGGGUUGUAAACUGCUUUUGUACAGAACGAAAAGGUUUCUACUAAUACUAGGAGCUCAUGACGGUACUGUAAGAACAAGCACCGGCUAACUACGUGCCAGCAGCCGCGGUAA